AAUUCUCAACCUUUCAAGCUUUUAUAUGGAAGCUAGUCAGGCUUGGAUUCUGGGAAUUGCUGGGUUCUUCAAUGAAGUCAGCUUUCCUUAAAUGUAUUAGCAAGAUCAAUCGCUGGAUCACUUGUGAUAUGAUAAUUAUCUAUAUCAUCAAUGAGACGGUGUUUUCCUUCAUGGAAAGAUCUAGCUUCUAAUGGUCUCUUCAGAGACAAUUCAUUGACU
RNAcentral lists this unclassified non-coding RNA (219 nucleotides) under uncultured Entoloma. RNAcentral describes it as "sequence contains ITS2". The record is from RNAcentral. Lineage: Eukaryota; Fungi; Basidiomycota; Agaricomycetes; Agaricales; Entolomataceae.